Molecule: ribosomal RNA, 253 nt
Filed under: uncultured bacterium
Lineage: Bacteria
Description: partial 16S ribosomal RNA
Rfam family: Bacterial small subunit ribosomal RNA
Source: RNAcentral
UACGAAGGGGGCUAGCGUUGUUCGGAUUUACUGGGCGUAAAGCGCGUGUAGGCGGGCUGGUAAGUUGGGGGUGAAAUCCCGAGGCUCAACCUCGGAACUGCCUCCAAAACUGUCAGCCUGGAGCAAGAUAGAGGCGAGUGGAAUUGCGAGUGUAGAGGUGAAAUUCGUAGAUAUGCGCAGGAACACCAGUGGCGAAGGCGACUCGCUGGAUCUUUGCUGACGCUGAGACGCGAAAGCGUGGGGAGCAAACAGG